UACGGGGGGGGCAAGCGUUGUUCGGAAUUACUGGGCGUAAAGGGCCAGUAGGCGGCCAACUAAGUCGGAUGUGAAAUCCCCAGGCUUAACUUGGGAACUGCAUCCGAUACUGGAUGGCUUGAAUUCGGGAGAGGGAUGCAGAAUUCCAGGUGUAGCGGUGAAAUGCGUAGAUAUCUGGAGGAAUACCGGUGGCGAAGGCGGCAUCCUGGACCGAGAUUGACGCUGAACGGCGAAAGCUAGGGGAGCAAACGGG
RNAcentral lists this ribosomal RNA (253 nucleotides) under uncultured bacterium. Its description in RNAcentral is "partial 16S ribosomal RNA". It matches the Rfam family "Bacterial small subunit ribosomal RNA", at positions 524 to 776 of the family's 1533-position model. The record is from RNAcentral.